Molecule: long non-coding RNA, 357 nt
Filed under: Salvia miltiorrhiza (redroot sage)
Lineage: Eukaryota; Viridiplantae; Streptophyta; Magnoliopsida; Lamiales; Lamiaceae
Description: long non-coding RNA (SMIL_LNC001925)
Source: RNAcentral
UUGGUUACACGUGUUAGAUACUCGCUCGCGUGUGUGUUGUCUACAUACGCGUGGGGGCGUCGACGUAUUUCUUUUUCUUCUUCUUUUUUUUGAAAUAUGACAACUUUCUUCAUGUNUUUUUUUAUGUUUUUGUGCAUGCGUUUUUUUUGUAUUUUAUUUAUAAAUUACGCAAUAAAUAUUUUUAAUUAUUUUAUAUAUCUAAAGACUAUUUAUAAUAAAUAUACUCUAACAUUAUUUCUAAUGGCUAUUUCUAUACAUGUAAUGUUUAUUUUCAGAAAUCCUUUAUAUAUAGUUCAAAUUUUACAUUUUCACACUACUCUCCAACAUUUCAAUCUUCUUCCUUUUUUUCACUUUAUU